Long non-coding RNA from Perognathus longimembris pacificus (Pacific pocket mouse), 1294 nucleotides. RefSeq lists it as uncharacterized. Lineage: Eukaryota; Metazoa; Chordata; Mammalia; Rodentia; Heteromyidae. The transcript has 3 exons. The record is from RefSeq and is a predicted model, not a curated record.
GGGGGAAAAAAGAAAUUAUUGUUUUUCAAGCAGGAAAACAUCAAACAUUUGGUGUUAUCAAGAAGUCCAUGAAGGGAACAGGACCAAUCAGAAGCCAGCUGUUACAAAGAACACAUUAUAAGCAAGUUUCACAGUAGAAAAGGAAACUGAAGGGCCCAGUGGCUGGAGUUAAUGUGACUGAAGAAAAAGAAUUUACCUGAAAUUUAGAGAAAACUAGUCUUCCACAGGGACUUGCCGAGAAGCACCAACAAAAAUCUACUUUGGGUCACUAUUGUCACUCUUCUAUAAAAUCUCACAGGGUCAUCUGCUAUUUGCCAAGAUAUUCCCUUCCUCAGUUUGUUUAGUUAAACCAGGGAGCUAUCUAUCUAAGACCACUCAUUUUAGAACAAAAACAUUCUUCCCUGAUAGGCACAGAAGCAAAUAAAAUAACCUACCUUAAAAUCAUGCUAAUAAUGUUAGAAGCCAUUCAUUUGAAACAUGUCUUAAGACAGAUAACUUUCAUUUUUCUUUCAGAUUUUUGUCAUAGGGAAAUGGAGCCCCUGGCAUGAAAUAAGGUAUCUCCCAAGGACUUAAAGAACUAGGAAUAGGUUAGGAUGUCCUUUCUUGUGGAAAAAAGAAAAAAACUGGAGAAGGAAUCAAACAGCCAUCUGUAGGAUGGAAAGUCCUUUUAUAAAAGUGAUUUACUUCUUAAGCCUUCUAACCCUUUGUUUCAUAAGUAAUGCAGGUUGCUGACCCCUGUGUCUCCUUGAAAGAACAAUGAGGUGGAAACAUGGGGAGAUGGGGAAAUGCAUGGAUCCCUGGGCUGCUGAACAGCUGUGCUUCUCAAAGAAAGCUCAAGGGGUCUACAGAAAAAAGAAAAAGAGUAAGCCACAAAUGCAUGGAACUAUCUGGACUUACAGCUAAGCAUCCCUAGAUACCAGACAUUAUUCCUUCUACUUAUCAAAAAAGAAAGUCAUGAAAGUUGAAGGACUGAAAGAUCUACAUGCACUGAAGCUAUAGUCAGGGAGCAUGGCCUUUGCAUGGGCUUUUUGCUCUACAGUCUGCUCUACCUGGAGGUAUGUUUGAAAGUACUCAUCAUAUAUAUGAACUGACAACUUUGUAAAUGUUGAGAGAAAUAUUUCUUCUCUUCCUUCUUGAGUAAUAUACUACUGGCAGCCUUGGAUCUAGAAUCCCUAUAAAACUUUGUCAUUCCUCAACCACAAUCAUGGCCACAAUAAGAGAACCUGAGAGGUAGGGAUACAAGGAACCCAAAAAGGACUCAGGGAUUUGGUCUCUAGAGUAUUCUGGACAAUAU